Molecule: ribosomal RNA, 497 nt
Filed under: uncultured bacterium
Lineage: Bacteria
Description: partial 16S ribosomal RNA
Rfam family: Bacterial small subunit ribosomal RNA
Source: RNAcentral
GAUGAACGCUGGCGGCGUGCCUAAUACAUGCAAGUCGAGCGAACGGACGAGAAGCUUGCUUCUCUGAUGUUAGCAGCGGACGGGUGAGUAACACGUGGAUAACCUACCUAUAAGACUGGGAUAACUUCGGGAAACCGGAGCUAAUACCGGAUGAUAUUUUGAACCGCAUGGUUCAAAAGUGAAAGACGGUCUUGCUGUCACUUAUAGAUGGAUCCGCGCUGCAUUAGCUAGUUGGUAAGGUAACGGCUUACCAAGGCAACGAUGCAUAGCCGACCUGAGAGGGUGAUCGGCCACACUGGAACUGAGACACGGUCCAGACUCCUACGGGAGGCAGCAGUAGGGAAUCUUCCGCAAUGGGCGAAAGCCUGACGGAGCAACGCCGCGUGAGUGAUGAAGGUCUUCGGAUCGUAAAACUCUGUUAUUAGGGAAGAACAUAUGUGUAAGUAACUGUGCACAUCUCGACGGUACCUAAUCAGAAAGCCACGGCUAACUACGUG